RNAcentral lists this ribosomal RNA (301 nucleotides) under uncultured bacterium. RNAcentral describes it as "partial 16S ribosomal RNA". It matches the Rfam family "Bacterial small subunit ribosomal RNA", at positions 509 to 808 of the family's 1533-position model. The record is from RNAcentral.
CAGCCGCCGCGGUAAUUCGUAGGUCCCGAGCGUUGUCCGGAUUUAUUGGGCGUAAAGGGAGCGCAGGCGGUUUAGUAAGUCUGAAGUUAAAGGCAUUGGCUCAACCAAUGUAUGCUUUGGAAACUGUUAGACUUGAGUGCAGAAGGGGAGAGUGGAAUUCCAUGUGUAGCGGUGAAAUGCGUAGAUAUAUGGAGGAACACCGGUGGCGAAAGCGGCUCUCUGGUCUGUCACUGACGCUGAGGCUCGAAAGCGUGGGUAGCGAACAGGAUUAGAUACCCCUGUAGUCCCUGUCUCUUAUACA